AUACGGAGGAUGCAAGCGUUAUCCGGAUUUAUUGGGUUUAAAGGGUGCGUAGGCGGUUUGCUAAGCGGGAGGUGAAAUGCCGGCGCUCAACGUCGGAAGUGCCUCCCGAACUGGUGGACUGGAAUGACUCUGCCGUGGGAGGAAUGUGUAGUGUAGCGGUGAAAUGCUUAGAGAUUACACAGAACACCGAUUGCGAAGGCAUCUCACGAAGGGUUGAUUGACGCUGAGGCACGAAAGCGUGGGGAUCAAACAGGAUUAGAUACCCUGGUAGUCCACGCAGUAAACGAUGAAUACUAGGUGUCGGGUUUCUAUAGAGAUUCGGUGCCGCAGCAAACGCAAUAAGUAUUCCACCUGGGGAGUACGUUCGCAAGAAUGGAACUUAAAGGAAUUGACGGGG
RNAcentral lists this ribosomal RNA (397 nucleotides) under uncultured bacterium. RNAcentral describes it as "partial 16S ribosomal RNA". It matches the Rfam family "Bacterial small subunit ribosomal RNA", at positions 523 to 918 of the family's 1533-position model. The record is from RNAcentral.